Molecule: long non-coding RNA, 1395 nt
Filed under: Sorghum bicolor (sorghum)
Lineage: Eukaryota; Viridiplantae; Streptophyta; Magnoliopsida; Poales; Poaceae
Description: long non-coding RNA (SBIC_LNC018336)
Source: RNAcentral
CCCGAAAAAAAACACUCAACAAAGCAUUUAACACUCGGCAAAGAUGUGGAUUCCAGUAGUGCUAUGCUAUGAUUUUUUUUUUUUGCUUAAUGAAUUCCUCUUUAAUUGUUUUGUUUCUCCUUAUACAUGUUGUAUUUCUAUGGAAUUUCUAUGCUUUUGGAUGAAGGGGAGGGCAAAUGAAUAUGUAAGAACUUUUCUAUUGGCAGAAUCCCAACUAUAUAUGAGUAAUCACUUCUGUUUGUUGUACAUAAAGGAAGGGGCUCCUAGGAAAGAGUCAACUCUCUUGUAGUUCCUCAUAAAAUUCAACGGUAUAUAUUAUUUUUUUUAUUAACGUGGUAAUAUCCAGAUUGGUGCAAAGAACAUGGUCAACGGUAUAUUUUUUUUAUAUUAACGUGGUAAUAUCUAGAUUGGUGCAAACAACAUCGUCACUUAGAUUUGACUAGUAUAUUGCCCAUAUUAACACUGUGGAUGACAUUAAGUCCAAACUUAAUUCUAUCAAAUUUGAAGUAUUUAGCUAAUUAUUUGUGCUUUUGUAAAAGCUGUUUCUAUAACACUAUUAUGUGUCAGUAUCCUUUUUCUAUAGAUUUUUCUGUUUCAUAAUUAGAAUACCUCUCUUAUCCGAUUCUAAAUUGAGCUGAUCUAUAUAUGAAUUUUGAUGGAUAUGAGCUAUACAAUGGAGAAAUCCAACUUGCAUUUGGAGUGGUGCUCCGGUUUUUCCAGACAUGCCAAUUUUGAUCGGCAACCAUAUAUAUUUGCACAAGAAAAUACAAAUUUAUUUUGACCCGCAAGUCCGCGACACAACAUAAGUAAGCAGCCGGUAGGUACACCGAGUAUAUAAUGUUAUAUAUUAUUAUUAGACGAGGGCUGGGAAGGAUCGGAUCGUUAUUUAGGUGGGAUCAUGCAUUGUAUCAUUGCCGGAUCGGAGCGCUCGCAUCAACCUCAGUCUUAGAGGUGCAUCUAGGUUGGCACCAGCAUUGAAAAAAGUUACAGAAGCCUUCAUAGUUGUCGCUGCUUUCUUCUAUGCAUACACGAUUGCAGGCGGCAUCGUGUAUCAAUCCAAUACAUAUCCCUUUAUAAUUGCCGCUCAGGUGUUCAGGGCAAAGAAAUGACCCAAUGGACGUCGACUCUGCAUGGUUCAGAUCCAAGCAUGCACAUUUAUGCAACAAAUGUCGAAGGUGCAUCAAUCAACUUUAAAUUAGCAAAAGAUUAAUCAAAUGACAUCACUACUUGCAACAUGUAGUUGAUGCAUGUGAGCGCGUACAUACCACGAGCUGCUAUGACAACAGGUAGGAGAACGACGACUAGGAUGAUAGCAGAGAGAUUCAUUUGUGAAGGCGCCAUAAUUUGCUUCUUAUCUUCAAGCAUAUUUGUUGCAAUCGAGUUUGGAGAUGUCUA